CAGUCCUUUAAAGCCUUUAAUCCCACUUGUUUUUAGAGAGUUGAUAAAGAUGACAUGAGAGCCCAACGGAGAGCUCCUAUAUAAUAUACCCACCAAUAAUUUUGAGUCAAAAAGAAUGCUAGUUCGUAACUUGUAUUUGAUGGGUUUUAGCCAUAAGAACUUUCCUAUGUGCGCAUGCAAAACCCUAAUGCUUGGAUCUAGGGUUUCUAAUUAAAUAUGCUUUGAAUCCAAGACUUCUAAUGACUAAAUAGAUAUAAGAACAAUACUAAAUCAGAUCUAGAAUCAUACCUUUGAAUCUCUUGUUUGAUCUUGUUGUCUUGGAGCUCUAGAGUCACAAUUGUCACUCCUCUAAUGGCUUACAAACACCAAAUAGCAAGAAGGAUGAUUUGGGAGAGAGGAGAGGGGAGGAAAUCGGCCAGGGGUUCUCUACUUUAGAUCAAGUGCCGAUUUCCCUUUGCCAUAUGGUCUAUUUAUACUUGUAGACUCCUUAAGGGUUACAACCUAAACCCUAGUUGGAUAAUCUUCUCUUAAAGCAAUCCAAAUCCAUUCCUUAGAUAGACUUGGACGAUUUGAAGCUAUCUCUAGCUUCUAGAAUCCGUCCACCCCUAUCCAAUAUGUAUUUACAGUCUAAAGUUUAACUAUCAAACAAUUGACAGUUUAUACCCUCUUAUUUAAUUAAUCUCUUUAAGUCACCAAAUUAAUUCUAAUUAAUUUAUGACUUAUAUUAAUCAAAUAACAAUAUUAUUAUUCUUUAUAUUAUUCUCAUAAUAUAUUAAUAAUAUUUAUUCUCUCUUAAUAAAUCAUCCUAUCAAGUUGCUAUGGUGAAGGCAACCCAAAAGGACCAUGCACAACCGGGUCAAAUACUUGCCUAAUAUAGUUGCAGCCUUAGACACUAUUCCAACAGUCUCCCACUUGGAUAAGUCUAGUAACUAUAUGCACAAGUACAAUUCGAUUUGCAAUCGUAGCUCUCAAAGACGCUGUCAAACUCUGAUCUAAUCAAUCUUGUCCUUUAGAUAAGGGAUCGUACAGUCCUCUGUUAGAUAUCAUGCUGACAAUCCUAUGGAAUGGUUAGUCAAGCAUUUAGGUUUCUCGAUCUCUGAUUUAUUUGACAUAGAACUUAAUCGAACACAUCAAUUCAGUUCUGACCGGGCCCGGCACAUAAGUCAAAUCAAAUCAUCGAGCGGCCGAGAUAUCGCUUUUACCUUCUUAGAUAAAAGUUACAGAUAAACUUCGACUUAUAUGCAUUUACUUAUUCAUUUACCAACUAUACACAACAAUACGUUUUAUAACACCAAGUUACUGAUGCGUUUUCGUAUUAUCAAUGUACAAUCAAUUAACAAAUAAUAAACCAUAUAUCUAGGUUUUAAGACUAUAUGAUAUUAUCGUCUUGCGAUCACCUUUUAUAUCGUAUUCCAUAAGGUGAUUCCAGCAAGCGCGGGUUUAUUCCAAUGCUCAAAACUAGUUCAUAAGCACUCAUGAACGUUGCAGCAAUCCUUUGCUAUGUCUAACACCAUUUAGACAUUCUACACACCAAUUCAUGACAAUCUUCAUUCAUAUCUACUCCCAACAUAUGAACGAUUGUGGACCAUUUGAACAAUUCGAUUAUUCCUAAUAAACUCAAUUAUUCUGGAAGUCAAAACAUGCAAAGUGAAACAAUAGCUAAACAAUUAACAUAAGAUAGUAACAUUACUCAUAAAUAAAACUCCUUUAUUUAAUCAUCAAAUGUUAAUUACAUUUAUCUAUUACACGUUUCUAAUACUAUCUAAUCUAUGCUAAUAUCAUCCUUCAGCCCAAUACUCCUAGCAUGCUGCAAGUGCUUAACCCUACUCAGUCCCUUCGUAAGCGGAUCUGCUGGGUUAUCUUCUGAUGAUAUCCUCUUCACUACGAGUUGUCCUUCUUCUACACGAUGUCUAAUGAAGUGAUACUUUCUGUCGAUAUGUCUUGAUCUACCAUGAUCCCUCGGUUCCUUGGUCAAGGCAACCGCGCCUUCGUUAUCACAGAAAAUCUCCAUUGGCUCCUUUAUGGCAGGUACAACUCCAAGAUCACCGAUGAAGUUCUUUAGCCAUAUUGCCUCCUUCGACGCUUCGCUCGCUGCAAUGUACUCUGAUUCGCACGUUGAAUCAGCUACGGUUUCCUGCUUGGAACUCUUCCAUGUCACUGCUCCUCCAUUUAGGGUAAAGACCCAGCCCGACUGCGAACGGUAGUUGUCCCUGUCGGUCUGAAAACUGGCGUCACUAUACCCUCGCACCUUCAAGUCAUCACUCCCUCCGAGGACUAAGAACCAUUCCUUUGUCCUCCGAAGGUACUUAAGGAUAUUCUUCACCGCAAUCCAAUGUGCUUUGCCAGGAUUCCCUUGAUAUCUGCUAACCAUGCUCAAAGCGAAGGCUACAUCAGGGCGAGUACAAGUCAUAGCGUACAUGAUUGAGCCAACUGCGGAAGCGUAUGGUACUCGGCUCAUUUCUGCUAUCUCAGCUUCGGUACUCGGACUUUGAGUCUUACUCAAUUUGGCAUUACUUUGUAUCGGUAGUUCUCCCUUCUUUGAGUUUUCCAUACUAAAACGUUUUAGUACCUUCUCUAAGUAAGUAUUCUGACUAAGUCCAAUUAGUCUCUUACUUCUUUCUCUUACUAUCCUUAUUCCCAAAAUGUAAGAAGCCUCUCCGAGGUCCUUCAUAGCGAAGCACUUCCCGAGCCAGGACUUAACCUCCUGCAGAGUCGGGAUGUCGUUUCCUAUGAGUAAUAUGUCAUCGACAUAUAGAACGAGGAAGCUUACUAUACUCCCACUGGCUUUGACAUAUACACAAGAUUCGUCUUCGCUUCGUACAAAUCCAAACUCUUUGACUUUCUCAUCGAAGCAAAGAUUCCAUCUGCGAGACGCUUGCUUAAGUCCAUAAAUGGACUUCUCAAGCUUACACACUCUAUUCGGAUGCUUCGGAUCCACAAACCCCUCUGGCUGAGCCAUGUAAACAUCCUCAGCCAACUUUCCGUUAAGGAAAGCGGUCUUGACAUCCAUUUGCCAAAUCUCAUAAUCAUGAAAUGCGGCAAUUGCUAGCAUCACUCUAAUAGAUUUAAUCUUCGCAACUGGUGAGAAGGUCUCAUCAUAGUCAACUCCGGGAGUUUGAGUAAAGCCCUUCGCAACCAAUCGCGCUUUAUAUGUGUGUACGUUUCCAUCCACGUCGGUCUUCUUCUUGAAGAUCCAUUUGCACCCAACGGUCUUACGUCCGGGCACAUAAUCAACCAAAUUCCAAACUUGGUUAUCAUACAUGGAUUGGAUCUCGCUAUCCAUUGCCUCUUUCCAUUUUGCAGACUCCGGGCCUGCCAUGGCUUCCUUAUAGCUAUUAGGUUCAUCAAGAUUUACUAGUGUACCAUCACUAAUAUACGUGUCCCCUUCGGUAGUAAUAUGAAAACCAUAAAACUGGGGAAGAACUCUAACUCUAUCGGAACGUCUAAGAGGUAAGGAUUCGUCAAUCGGUUCAACCGGAGUUUCCUCCUCGGGUUGAGUGCCAGCGGUAGAGGUUCCUUCAUCUAUCGACUCUUGAAUCUCUUCAAGUUCGAUUUGCCUCCCACUGUCUCCUUGGCUUAUGAGUUCUCGCUCUCGGAAAACUCCUCUCCUCGCAACGAAGACAACAUUGUCCUUCGGUCUAUAGAAGAGAUAUCCAAAGGAUGUCUGCGGGUAGCCGAUGAAAAUACAUCGCUCACUUCGAGGUUCAAGCUUGUCGUGAGUAUCUCGUCUUACGAAAGCCUCGCAACCCCAAACCUUGAUAUGUGCCAACGAGGGAGCUUUCCCUGUCCACAUCUCGUGAGGUGUUUUGGCAACCUUCUUAGUAGGGACUCGGUUAAGGAUAUGGGCGGCAGUCUCUAAGGCAUACCCCCAAAAAGAGAUAGGUAGUGAAGCACGACUCAUCAUAGAGCGAACCAUAUCCAAUAAGGUUCGAUUACGCCUUUCUGCCACACCAUUCAACUGCGGUGUCCUAGGAGGCGUCAAUUGUGAAACUAUUCCACACUCCUUGAGAUAAUCGUGGAAUUCAAGACUUAGGUACUCUCCUCCUCGAUCGGAUCGAAGCAUCUUGAUUUUCCUGCCCAAUUGAUUCUCCACUUCAUUCUUGAACUCUUUGAACUUUUCAAAGGUGUCUGACUUUUGCUUGAUUAAGUAGAUAUACCCAUAUCUACUAUAGUCAUCGGUAAAAGUCACAUAGAAGCGGUUCCCAUCCUUCGUGGUUGAUCUAAACGGUCCACAUACAUCGGUAUGUAUUAGGUCCAAUAGACCCUCGCCCCUUUCACAUGUACUCGUGAAGGGUGACUUAGUCAUCUUUCCAAGCAAACAAGACUCGCAUGUGUCAUCUUCCCUAAGGUCGAAUGACUCCAACACUCCAUCCUUUUGGAGUUGGGCUAUGCGUUUCUUGUUGACAUGUCCAAGACGACAAUGCCACAAGGAUGCUUUAUCCAUACUAGUGGAAGAAUCUAUGUUCAAAACAUCAUUUCCUAAGUUAUCAACAAUCAUAACAGUUUCAUAAAUUCCAUUACAUGGUAUAGCUUCAAAGUAAAAGACACCAUUUAGAUAAGCCAAAAUAGAACCAUUCUCAUUAUUAAAAGAAAAUCUAAAACCUUGUCUAUAUAAACCAUGAAAUGAAAUGAUGUUUCUAGCCAUUUCUGGCGAAUAGCAACAAUUGUUCAAAUCUAAACAUAAAUUAUUCCUAAGCACUAAAGAAUACACUCCAAUCUUGGUCACAGGCGACGAUCUUCUGUUCCCCAUGAUUAGAUUGAUCCUUCCUUGCUCCACAUCCCUACUUCUUCUUAGUCCCUGCACAUUAGAACAAAUGUGAUAACCACAACCGGUAUCAAGAACCCAAGAAAUAGCAUGAUUAGAAUCGUUAGAUUUAAUUGUGUAUAUACCUGCGAAAGAUGGCUUGAUCUUUCCUUCUUUGAUUGCUUGCAGGUACUCUGGGCAGCUUCUCUUCCAAUGUCCUAUCUUGUGGCAGUGGUGGCACUCUGCCUCCUUAGGGUUAGGGCAGGGCUUAGCGGGAUCAACUUUGGUCCCACUAGAAGAGGCACCAUCUCGGGCUUUAACCUUGCGAUAGUUCUUAGACGAAGCCUUCCUCUUCUUUCCCUUUCCUUGACCAAUAGCCAAGACAGGAGCAGCGGGUGGAUUGGGAGUUGGUGCAACAGACUUGUCUUUGAAGUUGCUCUCAGCGACCCUCAAGAGACCUUGGAGUUUGCUUAGGGUGACCUCCUCUUUGUUCAUGUGGUAGGUCAUCCUAAAUUGAUUGUACAUCGGAGGCAAAGAGUGAAGCACCAUGUCGAUCGCCAAGUCUUCCCCAAAGUCAACAUUUAACUUGCGAAGGCGGUCGACAUACCUUUGCAUCUUUUGCAGGUGCACGGUAAGAGAUUCUCCAUGACCCAUCUUAGCGGAAAUCAUGUUAGUGAAAAUCUCAUAACGCUCUUGUCUCGCGUUUUGGUGGUAUCUCUCCAAUAAGUCUUGAUGCAUCUCGUACGGGUACAUGUCCUCGUAGGACUUUUGGAAUUCGGAGUUCAUGGUGGCUAUCAUGAUGCAAUGUACCUUCGUUGCAUCUCGCUCAUGAGUUUCAAAAGCGGUAAUUUCAGCCGGAGUAGCGAUUUCAGGGUUGAUUUUCUCGAGCUUCUCAUCGAGGACAUACUCCUUAUCCUCAUAGCGAGCAAUGGUGCGAAUGUAUCUUAUCCAUUCGCUAAAGUUCGUUCCAUCGAAGGUGACCUUUUGGCAAAGGCUCAUCAACGUGAAAGAACUAGCAGCAGCGUUGUUUGCGUUCGACAUCUACAAUUAAAAAAGGACAAAGAUAGAUUAGAAUAAGAAUCCCUAAUUAUCACCCAAUAAGAAAAAUUAGGGCUAGGAUCCAACAAUAACAUUUACAUAUUAGAAAAGGGAUGCCGUAAUCUAACAUGCAAAUAAAUUGAAGGUAAGUGAAUGACGAUUCACUAAUUCUCCACCAUAAAACUUAACUAUUAGUCCUAAAUGUAUUGAGAAUUCCUAGGUUCGGAUGAGAUUCAUUGAAACUAUUCAAUGGCAUGUUUAAAUCUCGAUAUGCCCCUCUUGUUUGUGACUGGGAUACCGAGGAUCACAAAGCGGGUGUGAAUUACCAUGCAAAUUCACAUGGUGCCUUCAUUGUAACGAUCACCUAUUCGAUGUGCCGGUAAACCACACACGCUCCAUCGAACUAUGAUAAACAAUGAAUCACCCUUUGCCACCUUUGCUUAGAACCAAUUAGUGUGCCGGUAAACCACACACGCUCCACUAACUUCUUAGCAAGGGUGCAAAGUGUAAUUUCAUGGGAUUGCAUCAAUUCACUUUUCCUAAAGUAACUAGGAUUGGGAAAUUUUAAAAAAAUGUGUAGUUACUUUGUAUUACUUAUUAUACUUUUAAUGAGAGGAUGAGGUUGCCCUAUCCUACCCGUUCGGCUAACGACCCUCCACCAAUCAAGCAAGCGGUGGGUGUGAGUGUACACCCAUUAAGCGCCAUUUUAUAGGCCGCAACCUUAUACCCACCUUAUAGAUCGGCUUCGUGAAUGAGGCCUACUAACGGUAAGACUAGCAUUUUAGUUAUAUAUAUAUAUAUAUUAUUCUUGUAAUAUUAUAUUAGUAUAGGGUUGUAUUUUAAACCUUUUAAAAUCUAGGGUUUGAAAUUUAAAUUGUCUAAAUUAAAACUUUUAAUCACAAAAUAUAAAUUUCAAAACUUGAGGACAAGUUUUAAACAUUUAAAACAUGGAGGAUCAAAUAACAAAUAAUUUCAAUUAACAAUUAAUUUCCUAAUUAUCUAUAUUUGAUUUAUUCAAGAUUUCUUGCAAGAUAAUUACCAAAAUAAUCAAAAUAAUUAAUUAAUUAUCAUAUAAGGAAAUUAAAUAUUUUAUUAGUUGAUAAAUAUCUUUAAUUAGAUCAAGAUUAUAGUCAUAUAUAUCAAAAAAUCGGAUUAGGGUUGAUCUAAUAUGAUUAAGGUAAGUUUCCAUAAGAUAAUCAUGAAGAAAUCCCGAAUCUGGCCAUUCCUGACGCCUGGACUCGCCGAGUGCACAAGGGGACUCGCCGAGUCAGGCCUACUCGCCGAGUCCACCUUGGGACUCGCCGAGUCAGUGACUCAGAAACCAAAAAAUCGAAUUUUGCAGGUUUGUUUCAGUUAAAUAAGCAACAAUUUAAAGAAAACCAAGCUAGGCUCUGAUACCACUGAUGGGUUUUAGCCAUAAGAACUUUCCUAUGUGCGCAUGCAAAACCCUAAUGCUUGGAUCUAGGCUUUCUAAUUAAACAUGCUUUGAAUCCAAGACUUCUAAUGACUAAAUAGAUAUAAGAACAAUACUAAAUCAGAUCUAGAAUCAUACCUUUGAAUCUCUUGUUUGAUCUUGUUGUCUUGGAGCUCUAAAGUCACAAUUGUCACUCCUCUAAUGGCUUACAAACACCAAAUAGCAAGAAGGAUGAUUUGGGAGAGAGGAGAGGGGAUGAAAUCAGCCAGGGGUUCUCUACUUUAGAUCAAGUGCCGAUUUCCCUUUGCCAUAGGGUCUAUUUAUACUUGUAGACUCCUUAAGGGUUACAACCUAAACCCUAGUUGGAUAAUCUUCUCUUAAAGCAAUCCAAAUCCAUUCCUUAGAUAGACUUGGACGAUUUGAAGCUAUCUCUAGCUUCUAGAAUCCAUCCACCCCUAUCUAAUAUGGAUUUACAGUCUAAAGUUUAACUAUCAAACAAUUGACAGUUUAUACCUUCUUAUUUAAUUAAUCUCUUUAAGUCACCAAAUUAAUUCUAAUU
RNAcentral lists this long non-coding RNA (7755 nucleotides) under Lactuca sativa (garden lettuce). Its description in RNAcentral is "long non-coding RNA (LSAT_LNC000767)". Lineage: Eukaryota; Viridiplantae; Streptophyta; Magnoliopsida; Asterales; Asteraceae. The record is from RNAcentral.